UCUGCUUGAUGAGAAAAUGUGGCUGAAUAACUCGAAAAUUAAAUGUGACAUUCAUCAGCUUCGUCUUUCGUUUUUCUACGGGACAGGAGUUAAAUGCUGUCACAACAUUU
Cryptomeria japonica (Japanese cedar) is the source of this 110-nucleotide small nucleolar RNA. RefSeq annotates it as small nucleolar RNA snoR97. The transcript has a single exon. NCBI's taxonomy places the organism in Eukaryota, Viridiplantae, Streptophyta, Pinopsida, Cupressales, Cupressaceae. The record is from RefSeq and is a predicted model, not a curated record.